UCAGAACAGCUGACAGCAGU
RNAcentral lists this microRNA (20 nucleotides) under Mus musculus (house mouse). RNAcentral's name for it is "mmu-miR-7243-3p". The record is from miRBase by way of RNAcentral. Lineage: Eukaryota; Metazoa; Chordata; Mammalia; Rodentia; Muridae.